CUAUCCCUGGCUACAAAAAACUUGGAAAAAUUAGAAUAUGAUGUGGUAUGGACACACUAGGGUGACUGCAUGGAAUCUGAAUCAGCCAGCGCUAAGGAAGAGCUGUACUGCUUUUCUGGAUUCAAGCUGACUCCUACAGUACUGCUUAAGUGUCACAGAAGUACAUCUCCUUAUGCUCUUGAUAGGUAAUGACUUACUAAUUUGGGUACAGUGGUGGAUCUGAGCUGUACCUGCUUACUGUAGAGCUGUGCACCUGGUACCGAGUCCUCUGAAAACAUGAAAUACAAGGAAAAAUAGUGAAGAGGCACUGGAGACUCUGCAGAGACCAGGCUGUAUCUGAUGAGGUUGACAAAGGGCCAAAACUAGCAAAUCUGGAUGCCCUCCUGUUGACUCUGCAUGUAGCACUCAAGUGCCGUUGCACCGCAGUUCCCUAGUUCCAAGCUCCAAGCAUGGCAUGCUGAGACCCUGGACAGGUAAUACACAUUUGGCCUGUAUACACGUGCCCAAAUAGCUCUGCACAAACAGUGCUAUACUGCUUCUGUGCUUAAGCUAGGCCUAGAAGCAAUACAACCACAUCUGUGGGGCACCGUGUUUGCACUAAUAACCCUGCUAGAGAAUAUGAAUUCUGCUGGUCUUAAUCUCUCUGAAUCUAUUUCUUCACUCCUCAUUAUCUUCUCUACUUAACCCCGAGCUGUCUCUUCAUUUUCAUAGACAGUUUCCAACGGUUACAGAUGCACAGGUGCCUCUCCUACUCAGACAGCUGAUAGACCCAUCCUUGCUUAUGAUCUGAUGUAACGGCAUAGAACUUUUUGUUUACAUAAAAUAAAGUUAGUGGAGGGGGUGAUGACAACUUGAACAAAGUUCCUCCCCGUUUGGCUCGUCAGCUGACGUUGCUCAACUCUGCCUUUGCCUCUCGUGGGAGACUAAAACUCUGCUGGGAUCCAGUCCUGGAGAACAGGAAGUGGAACAGUGGGGUCGUCAGAGCCAUGUUUGGUACAGAACUCUAUGCUAUUGCAGCUACACUUCUGGAAAAAAAGAACAAGAAGAAACAGAGUAAUGUUCAAAAGAGAAACUGA
This 1076-nucleotide long non-coding RNA is filed under the name Struthio camelus australis. Its description in RNAcentral is "lncRNA (ENSSCUG00000014254.1)". The record is from RNAcentral. Lineage: Eukaryota; Metazoa; Chordata; Aves; Struthioniformes; Struthionidae.